Molecule: ribosomal RNA, 497 nt
Filed under: uncultured bacterium
Lineage: Bacteria
Description: partial 16S ribosomal RNA
Rfam family: Bacterial small subunit ribosomal RNA
Source: RNAcentral
GAUGAACGCUGGCGGCGUGCCUAAUACAUGCCAGUCGAGCGAACGGACGAGAAGCUUGCUUCUCUGAUGUUAGCGGCGGACGGGUGAGUAACACGUGGAUAACCUACCUAUAAGACUGGGAUAACUUCGGGAAACCGUAGCUAAUACCGGAUAAUAUUUUGAACCGCAUGGUUCAAAAGUGAAAGGCGGUCUUGCUGUCACUUAUAGAUGGAUCCGCGCUGCAUUAGCUAGUUGGUAAGGUAACGGCUUACCAAGGCAACGAUGCAUAGCCGACCUGAGAGGGUGAUCGGCCACACUGGAACUGAGACACGGUCCAGACUCCUACGGGAGGCAGCAGUAGGGAAUCUUCCGCAAUGGGCGAAAGCCUGACGGAGCAACGCCGCGUGAGUGAUGAAGGUCUUCGGAUCGUAAAACUCUGUUAUUAGGGAAGAACAUAUGUGUAAGUAACUGUGCACAUCUUGACGGUACCUAAUCAGAAAGCCACGGCUAACUACGUG